This 490-nucleotide ribosomal RNA is filed under the name Euastacus neohirsutus. RNAcentral describes it as "eukaryotic LSU rRNA". It matches the Rfam family "Eukaryotic large subunit ribosomal RNA", at positions 1127 to 1582 of the family's 3401-position model. Lineage: Eukaryota; Metazoa; Arthropoda; Malacostraca; Decapoda; Parastacidae. The record is from RNAcentral.
UGGGCCAUUUUUGGUAAGCAGAACUGGCGCUGUGGGAUGAACCAAACGUCNAGUUAAGGGGCCCCAAUGAAUGCUCAUUCAGAUCCCAUCGAAAGGCGUUGGUUGCUAUAGACAGCAGGACGGUGGCCAUGGAAGUCGGAAUCCGCUAAGGAGUGUGUAACAACUCACCUGCCGAAGCAACUAGCCCUUAAAAUGGUAUGGCGCUGAAGCAUUCUCCCGAUACUCGACCGCCGGGGCACUAGCGACCGCGUCCAAGAGGCUUGGACGCGAAGCUCCCCGGUGAGUAAGAGGGUCGCAGUGGUGAGCGCUGAAGGGAUCCGGCGAGAGCCGGCCUGGAGCCACCACUGGCGCAGAUCUUGGUGGUAGUAGCAAAUACUCGAGAGAGACUCCCUUGAAGACCGAUGUGGAGAAGGGUUCCAUGUGAACAUCAGUUGGACAUGGGUUAGUCGCUCCUAAGCCCAAGGCUAAGGCCUGAUCCCAUGCUAGCGGC